CGUAGGAGGCUAGUGUUAGUUAUCUUUAUUGGGUUUAAAGGGUAAGUAGACGGUAAAUUAAACUCUAAACGAGUACUUUUUUACUAGAGUUAUAUGAGAGAAGGAAGAAUUUCUGGAGUAGAGAUAAAAAUUUGAUGAUACCAGGAGGACUGUCAACGGCGAAGGCGUCCUUCUAUGUAAUAACUGACGUUGAGAGACGAAGGCUUGGGUAGCAAACAGGAUU
This 223-nucleotide ribosomal RNA is filed under the name uncultured bacterium. RNAcentral describes it as "partial 16S ribosomal RNA". It matches the Rfam family "Bacterial small subunit ribosomal RNA", at positions 526 to 779 of the family's 1533-position model. The record is from RNAcentral.